UUUUUUUUCAUUUUUUCUUUUUUGGAUGCACAGUUAUUGUGGGUUUGUUUGCUGAGACUAUUUCGAUUCAAACAUCAAUUUUCUCUCGUCACGAAGUUUUUCAGAAGGGGUUUCAGACCUAUGAGCAGUACUGGAGAUAAAAUCCACUUACUGCGAAUUGAAUUUACGUGUUGUCCGGUUGGGUUGAAUGGCAAAGCAAAUCUGGCCCAAUUUCCCCAGAACGAAGAAGCCCACUUUUGGUUGUCAAUUUGUGUCGGAAUUCACAUUUUAGUCAGAUUCGUGAUUCUGACCCUCAAGGAAUUGGGUGAAAACUUGAAAUCUCAUUGUUGGCCCUUCCUGUUCAUCUAAUUUUAGAUUGUAUGUCCCUCCCUCACAAGUAUCCAUUGCUGUCUUUGCCACCAGCCAUGACCGACGCCGGCGCCGCCCCUCCACCUCCAACUUUGACGUUCCGACUGGAACCUCCUGGUCGGGAGCUCAGGCGAGCUCAGCAAGCCCCGCCAUCUCUUAUGUUGAGCUCGUGCCGAGAUAGCGAGAUCACCGGCACCCCUCGAGCUUUGCCAUCAGUUCGUGUUCAUCGGUUGAAAUAAGGAGGGGCAUGGCCAGCGCCGAAAGUGGUCGGUUAGACUGUCGGAAGUGGAGGUGGAUUUGGAGGGGCGGUGGCUGCUCCUUUCGCCCGUCGAUUUUCUCUCUCUCAGCCAGCCUAGGUUCGCCAAAUCGGCAAAUCGGGGGCUCGGACCCUUGGAUGGGUUCGCGGGGGGCAGGGCUAACCCACCCCUGGUGCUCGCGAGCGUUGUGGCCCCGGAGCCAUGGGAUCACCGGGGCUUAUACAAAUUCGAGUUUGUUCAUCUGGUAAUAUAUUCCAGUUAUAAAGUAUAUUUGAAAAUUAUAAGUCAAGGUUCCCAUGGAUGGUUAUGAAGUUCGCUUUCCUUGAUAAUGUCUACUUCAUAAACCAGACGGGAGAAGUGACAUAACAGGGGCAUGGCCCCAGAAAAUGGCGUGGUGCAGGAGAAGAAGACACCUAACGAUAUUCCAGACAUAUCUUCUAUGAGCAGGAGCGAUUUUUUAUUUUUAUGAUAUGAUGGAAACUGAUCAGGAACGAUUAGAUGGAACUUUGCAAUUUGCAUCUGUCUUUCGAGGUGAAGAUUUUGCAGCUAAAAGAAUCGUGCGGUUUCUUCUUUUUCUAAAAUCUGUGAACUGUACUGAGAUAUAUAUGAGACCAUCUCUCAGUUCUUGAUGGAAGAUAGAGUGGGGGUCCACAUGGAGAUAGCACUAGGAACGGGUCGAUAUUUUGCAACCGUACACGAAGAUGGCUCGAGGGGCCAUGGGAGGGUACAUGUUAGCCUAUUCGGCCCCAGAACUUCGAAGCUAAAAGGAAUUUUACAAUUUUUUUUUCAAUUGUUUAAUUCCUUAACUCGGAAAAGUUACUUUCUUAAUCUUCCCCUCGAGGACAAGCCCAUUCCCUCUCGAUUAAAA
Non-coding RNA from Punica granatum (pomegranate), 1473 nucleotides. NCBI's taxonomy places the organism in Eukaryota, Viridiplantae, Streptophyta, Magnoliopsida, Myrtales, Lythraceae. The record is from RefSeq and is a predicted model, not a curated record.